This 468-nucleotide ribosomal RNA is filed under the name uncultured bacterium. RNAcentral describes it as "partial 16S ribosomal RNA". It matches the Rfam family "Bacterial small subunit ribosomal RNA", at positions 28 to 507 of the family's 1533-position model. The record is from RNAcentral.
GACGAACGCUGGCGGCGUGCUUAACACAUGCAAGUCGAACGGCAAGGCCCUGCUUUUGUGGGGUGCUCGAGUGGCGAACGGGUGAGUAACACGUGAGUAACCUGCCCUUGACUUUGGGAUAACUUCAGGAAACUGGGGCUAAUACCGGAUAGGAGCUCCUGCUGCAUGGUGGGGGUUGGAAAGUUUCGGCGGUUGGGGAUGGACUCGCGGCUUAUCAGCUUGUUGGUGGGGUAGUGGCUUACCAAGGCUUUGACGGGUAGCCGGCCUGAGAGGGUGACCGGCCACAUUGGGACUGAGAUACGGCCCAGACUCCUACGGGAGGCAGCAGUGGGGAAUAUUGCACAAUGGGCGGAAGCCUGAUGCAGCAACGCCGCGGGCGGGAUGACGGCCUUCGGGUUGUAAACCGCUUUCGCCUGUGACGAAGCGUGAGUGACGGUAAUGGGUAAAGAAGCACCGGCUAACUACGUG